RNAcentral lists this ribosomal RNA (252 nucleotides) under uncultured bacterium. RNAcentral's name for it is "partial 16S ribosomal RNA". It matches the Rfam family "Bacterial small subunit ribosomal RNA", at positions 524 to 776 of the family's 1533-position model. The record is from RNAcentral.
UACGUAGGGGGCAAGCGUUAUCCGGAAUUACUGGGUGUAAAGGGUGAGUAGGCGGUCGUCUAAGUCACAAGUGAAAGCCUGAGGCUCAACCUCAGCGAGCUUGAGAAACUGGAUGACUAGAGUGUGGGAGAGGUAAGUGGAAUUCCUAGUGUAGCGGUAAAAUGCGUAGAUAUUAGGAGGAACACCGGUGGCGAAGGCGACUUACUGGACCAAUACUGACGCUGAGUCACGAAAGCGUGGGGAGCAAACAGG